AUACGGAGGGGGCUAGCGUUGUUCGGAAUUACUGGGCGUAAAGCGCACGUAGGCGGACGAGAAAGUCAGAGGUGAAAUCCCAGGGCUCAACCCUGGAACUGCCUUUGAAACUCCUUGUCUUGAGGUCGAGAGAGGUGAGUGGAAUUCCGAGUGUAGAGGUGAAAUUCGUAGAUAUUCGGAGGAACACCAGUGGCGAAGGCGGCUCACUGGCUCGAUACUGACGCUGAGGUGCGAAAGCGGUGGGGAGC
RNAcentral lists this ribosomal RNA (248 nucleotides) under uncultured bacterium. RNAcentral describes it as "partial 16S ribosomal RNA". It matches the Rfam family "Bacterial small subunit ribosomal RNA", at positions 523 to 769 of the family's 1533-position model. The record is from RNAcentral.